CCCGAGUAGAGUGGCGCACGGGUGAGUAACGCGUGGGUAAUCUGCCCUCGAGUGGGGAAUAACCUCGCGAAAGCGGGGCUAAUACCGCGUAACACCGCUUUCACUAUGUGAAGGUGGUCAAAGAUGGCCUCUGUUUACAAGCUGUCGCUUGAGGAGGAGCCCGCGUCCCAUUAGCUUGUUGGUGGGGUAACGGCCUACCAAGGCUGCGAUGGGUAGCCGGCCUGAGAGGGUGAUCGGCCACACUGGAACUGAGACACGGUCCAGACUCCUACGGGAGGCAGCAGUGAGGAAUAUUGCGCAAUGGGCGAAAGCCUGACGCAGCGACGCCGCGUGGAGGAUGAAGGCCUUCGGGUCGUAAACUCCUGUCGAGGGGGACGAAAUGACCUUUCGCGAAUAACGGAAGGUCUUGACGGUACUCCUGGAGGAAGCCCCGGCUAACUCCGUGCCAGCAGCCGCGGUAAUACGGAGGGGGCCAGCGUUGCUCGGAAUUACUGGGCGUAAAGGGCUCGUAGGCGGUCUGAUAAGUCCUGUGUGAAAUCCCUUGGCUCAACCAAGGAAUUGCGCAGGAUACUGUCGGACUAGAGGCCGGGAGAGGGAAGUGGAAUUCCCAGUGUAGCGGUGAAAUGCGUAGAUAUUGGGAGGAACACCGG
This 650-nucleotide ribosomal RNA is filed under the name uncultured bacterium. Its description in RNAcentral is "bacterial SSU rRNA". It matches the Rfam family "Bacterial small subunit ribosomal RNA", at positions 85 to 712 of the family's 1533-position model. The record is from RNAcentral.